RNAcentral lists this ribosomal RNA (495 nucleotides) under uncultured bacterium. RNAcentral's name for it is "partial 16S ribosomal RNA". It matches the Rfam family "Bacterial small subunit ribosomal RNA", at positions 28 to 507 of the family's 1533-position model. The record is from RNAcentral.
GACGAACGCUGGCGGCGUGCCUAAUACAUGCAAGUAGAACGCUGAAGGAGGAGCUUGCUUCUCUGGAUGAGUUGCGAACGGGUGAGUAGCGCGUAGGUAACCUGCCUGGUAGUGGGGGAUAACUAUUGGAAACGAUAGCUAAUACCGCAUAAUAGCAGUUGUUGCAUGAUAACUGUUUGAAAGGUGCAAUUGCACCGCUACCAGAUGGACCUGCGUUGUAUUAGCUAGUUGGUGGGGUAACGGCUCACCAAGGCGACGAUACAUAGCCGACCUGAGAGGGUGAUCGGCCACACUGGGACUGAGACACGGCCCAGACUCCUACGGGAGGCAGCAGUAGGGAAUCUUCGGCAAUGGACGGAAGUCUGACCGAGCAACGCCGCGUGAGUGAAGAAGGUUUUCGGAUCGUAAAGCUCUGUUGUAAGAGAAGAACGAGUGUGAGAGUGGAAAGUUCACACUGUGACGGUAUCUUACCAGAAAGGGACGGCUAACUACGUG